AUGAACAUCCGCAAUGCUAGGCCCGAAGACCUGACGAACAUGCAGCACUGCAACCUUCUCUGCCUGCCGGAAAACUACCAGAUGAAGUACUAUUUCUAUCAUGGCCUCUCUUGGCCCCAGCUUUCUUAAAUUGCUGAGGAUGAAAAUGGGAAGAUUGUGGGAUACGUCUUGGCUAAAAUGGAAGAGGACCCAGACGAUGUUCCCCAUGGACCUCACUGGCUGCGAAGCGUUCCCACCGGCUCCUCGGCCUGGCUCAGAAGCUGAUGGACCAGGCCUCUCGAGCCAUGAUAGAGAACUUCAAUGCCAAAUAUGUCUCCUGCAUGUCAGGAAGAGUAACAGGGCCGCCCUGCAUCUCUAUUCCAACACCCUCAACUUUCACUGAGGAGGCACCUGGAGCUGAAGGAAAAGGGCAAACACAUGGUUCUGGUGGCCUUGGAGAACAAAGCGGAGAACAAAGGCAACGUGCUUCUGAGCUCAGGAGAGGCGUGCCGUGAGGAGAAGGGCCUGGCUGCUGAGGAUAGUGGUGGGAACAGCAAGGACCUCAGUGAGGUCAGCGCGACCACAGAGCGCACAGAUGUCAAAGACAGCUCAGAGGCCUCUGACUCUGCCUCCUAG
This 615-nucleotide long non-coding RNA is filed under the name Mus musculus (house mouse). RNAcentral's name for it is "long non-coding RNA chr2:172100620-172101235". Lineage: Eukaryota; Metazoa; Chordata; Mammalia; Rodentia; Muridae. The record is from RNAcentral.